RNAcentral lists this ribosomal RNA (433 nucleotides) under uncultured bacterium. RNAcentral describes it as "partial 16S ribosomal RNA". It matches the Rfam family "Bacterial small subunit ribosomal RNA", at positions 29 to 507 of the family's 1533-position model. The record is from RNAcentral.
AACGAACGCUGGCGGCAGGCCUAACACAUGCAAGUCGAGCGCGCCCUCCGGGGUGUUCGGCGGACCGGUGAGUACCACGUGGGAACUUGCCCUUUUCUACGCUAUAGCCUCGUUAAACUUAGCGUAAUCCAGUUUACGCUCAUUCGGGGUAAGAUUUAUCGGAAAAGGAUCGGCCCGCGUUGGAUUAGGUAGUUGGUGGGGUAAUGGCCUACCAAGCCGACGAUCCAUAGCUGGUUUGAGAGGAUGAUCAGCCACACUGGGACUGAGACACGGCCCAGACUCCUACGGGAGGCAGCAGUGGGGAAUCUUAGACAAUGGGGGCAACCCUGAUCUAGCCAUGCCGCGUGAGUGAUGAAGGCCUUAGGGUUGUAAAGCUCUUUCAGCUGGGAAGAUAAUGACGGUACCAGCAGAAGAAGCCCCGGCUAACUCCGUG